CCUACGGGAGGCAGCAGUAAGGAAUAUUGGACAAUGGGCGAAAGCCUGAUCCAGCCAUGCCGCGUGAAGGAUUAAGGCCCUCUGGGUUGUAAACUUCUUUUAUAGGGGACGAAAAAAGGGAAUUCUUUCCCUCCUGACGGUACCCUAUGAAUAAGCACCGGCUAACUCCGUGCCAGCAGCCGCGGUAAUACGGAGGGUGCAAGCGUUAUCCGGAUUCACUGGGUUUAAAGGGUGCGUAGGCGGGUAGGUAAGUCAGUGGUGAAAUCUCGAAGCUUAACUUCGAAACUGCCAUUGAUACUAUUUAUCUUGAAUAUUGUGGAGGUUUGCGGAAUAUGUCAUGUAGCGGUGAAAUGCUUAGAUAUGACAUAGAACACCUAUUGCGAAGGCAGCAGGCUACGCAUAUAUUGACGCUGAGGCACGAAAGCGUGGGGAUCAAACAGGAUUAGAUACCCUGGUAGUCCACGCCCUAAACGAUGAUUACUCGACAUUUGUGAUACACUAUAAGUGUCUGAGCGAAAGCAUUAAGUAAUCCACCUGGAAGUACGACCGCAAGGUUGAAACUUACGAAAGUAGUAGACGNGNGAGAGCGACGACGACGACGACGGAGGAGGAGG
This 614-nucleotide ribosomal RNA is filed under the name uncultured bacterium. Its description in RNAcentral is "bacterial SSU rRNA". It matches the Rfam family "Bacterial small subunit ribosomal RNA", at positions 338 to 956 of the family's 1533-position model. The record is from RNAcentral.